This 253-nucleotide ribosomal RNA is filed under the name uncultured bacterium. RNAcentral's name for it is "partial 16S ribosomal RNA". It matches the Rfam family "Bacterial small subunit ribosomal RNA", at positions 524 to 776 of the family's 1533-position model. The record is from RNAcentral.
GACGUAGGGCGCGAGCGUUGUCCGGAUUUAUUGGGCGUAAAGAGCUCGUAGGCGGUCUGUCGCGUCUGCUGUGAAAACCUAAGGCUCAACCUUGGGCUUGCAGUGGGUACGGGCAGACUAGAGUGCGGUAGGGGUGACUGGAAUUCCUGGUGUAGCGGUGGAAUGCGCAGAUAUCAGGAGGAACACCGAUGGCGAAGGCAGGUCACUGGGCCGCAACUGACGCUGAGGAGCGAAAGCAUGGGGAGCGAACAGG